UACGGGAGGCAGCAGUGGGGAAUAUUGCACAAUGGGCGCAAGCCUGAUGCAGCCAUGCCGCGUGUAUGAAAAAGGCCUUCGGGUUGUAAAGUACUUUCAGUCGUGAGGAAGGUGUUAAGGUUAAUAACCUUAGCAAUUGACGUUAGCGACAGAAGAAGCACCGGCUAACUCCGUGCCAGCAGCCGCGGUAAUACGGAGGGUGCGAGCGUUAAUCGGAAUUACUGGGCUAAAGGGCACGCAGGCGGUUAAUUAAGUUGGAUGUGAAAUCCCCGGGCUUAACCUGGGAAUGGCAUUCAAGACUGGUUAGCUAGAGUCUUGUAGAGGGGGUAGAAUUCCAUGUGUAGCGGUGAAAUGCGUAGAGAUGUGGAGGAAUACCGGUGGCGAAGGCGGCCCCUGGACAAAGACUGACGCUCAUGUGCGAAAGCGUGGGGAGCAAACAGGGAUUUAGAUACC
This 453-nucleotide ribosomal RNA is filed under the name uncultured bacterium. Its description in RNAcentral is "bacterial SSU rRNA". It matches the Rfam family "Bacterial small subunit ribosomal RNA", at positions 340 to 786 of the family's 1533-position model. The record is from RNAcentral.